AAUGAACGCCGGCGGCAGGCCUAACACAUGCAAGUCGAACGGAUCCUUCGGGAUUAGUGGCGGACGGGUGAGUAACGCGUGGGAACAUACCCUUUGGUACGGAAUAGCCUCGGGAAACUGGGAGUAAUACCGUAUGUGGUCGAGAGACGAAAGAUUUAUCGCCAAAGGAUUGGCCCGCGUUGGAUUAGGUAGUUGGUGGGGUAAUGGCCUACCAAGCCGACGAUCCAUAGCUGGUUUGAGAGGAUGAUCAGCCACACUGGGACUGAGACACGGCCCAGACUCCUACGGGAGGCAGCAGUGGGGAAUCUUAGACAAUGGGAGAAACCCUGAUCUAGCCAUGCCGCGUGAUCGAUGAAGGCCUUAGGGUUGUAAAGAUCUUUCAGGUGGGAAGAUAAUGACUGUACCACCAGAAGAAGCCCCGGCUAACUCCGUGCCAGCAGCCGCCGCGG
Molecule: ribosomal RNA, 449 nt
Filed under: uncultured bacterium
Lineage: Bacteria
Description: partial 16S ribosomal RNA
Rfam family: Bacterial small subunit ribosomal RNA
Source: RNAcentral